AACGAACGCUGGCGGCACGCCUAACACAUGCAAGUCGAGCGCGCCCUUCGGGGUGAGCGGCGGACGGGUUAGUAACGCGUGGGAACGUACCCUUCUCUACGGAAUAGCCAUUGGAAACGAUGAGUAAUACCGUAUACGCCCUUUGGGGGAAAGAUUUAUCGGAGAAGGAUCGGCCCGCGUUAGAUUAGAUAGUUGGUGGGGUAAUGGCCUACCAAGUCUACGAUCUAUAGCUGGUUUGAGAGGAUGAUCAGCAACACUGGGACUGAGACACGGCCCAGACUCC
Molecule: ribosomal RNA, 283 nt
Filed under: unidentified marine bacterioplankton
Lineage: Bacteria
Also listed under: 1 other name
Description: partial 16S ribosomal RNA
Rfam family: Bacterial small subunit ribosomal RNA
Source: RNAcentral